UCAAAGAGUGCGUAAUAGCUCACUGGUCGAGUGAUCCUGCGCCGAAGAUUUCCGGGGCUAAAACUUACUACCGAAGCUACGGCAUCAGUAAUGAUGGGUAGGGGGGCUUCCCAUACGGGUUGAAGCAUGACCGUAAGGACAUGUGGACAGUAUGGGAGUGAGAAUGUUGGCAUGGGUAGCGAGAUGUGGGUGAGAAUCCCACAGGCCGUAAACCCAAGGUUUCCAGGGGAAGGUUCGUCCGCCCUGGGUUAGUCGGGACCUAAGCUGAGGCCGAAAGGCGUAGGUGAUGGACAACAGGUUGA
RNAcentral lists this ribosomal RNA (302 nucleotides) under Clostridioides difficile. Its description in RNAcentral is "bacterial LSU rRNA". It matches the Rfam family "Bacterial large subunit ribosomal RNA", at positions 1123 to 1433 of the family's 2925-position model. The record is from RNAcentral. Lineage: Bacteria; Bacillati; Bacillota; Clostridia; Peptostreptococcales; Peptostreptococcaceae.